GGUGGUUCUCGGGUGACACCGGAAUCAGGCUCCCUUCUCUCUGGUUCCAGGUGCGUCACCUGAGAACCACA
Myotis brandtii (Brandt's bat) is the source of this 71-nucleotide non-coding RNA. The record is from Rfam. NCBI's taxonomy places the organism in Eukaryota, Metazoa, Chordata, Mammalia, Chiroptera, Vespertilionidae.